GAUGAACGCUGGCGGUAUGCUUAACACAUGCAAGUCGAACGGUACCUUCGGGUAUAGUGGCGGACGGGUGAGUAACGCGUGAGAAUCUAUCUUCAGGUCGGGGACAACAGUUAGAAAUGACUGCUAAUACCGGAUGUGCCGAAAGGUAAAAGAUUUAUUGCCUGAAAAAGAGCUCGCGUCAGAUUAGCUAGUAGGUGGUGUAAGAGACUACCUAGGCUUCGAUCUGUAGCUGGUCUGAGAGGACGAUCAGCCACACUGGAACUGAGACACGGUCCAGACUCCUACGGGAGGCAGCAGUGGGGAAUUGUCCGCAAUGGGCGAAAGCCUGACGGAGCAAUACCGCGUGAGGGACGAAGGCUCUUGGGUCGUAAACCUCUUUUCUCAGGGAAGAUUCAGACGGUACUUGAGGAAUAAGCAUCGGCUAACUCUGUG
RNAcentral lists this ribosomal RNA (432 nucleotides) under uncultured bacterium. RNAcentral describes it as "partial 16S ribosomal RNA". It matches the Rfam family "Bacterial small subunit ribosomal RNA", at positions 28 to 507 of the family's 1533-position model. The record is from RNAcentral.